Molecule: long non-coding RNA, 6377 nt
Filed under: Ananas comosus (pineapple)
Lineage: Eukaryota; Viridiplantae; Streptophyta; Magnoliopsida; Poales; Bromeliaceae
Description: long non-coding RNA (ACOM_LNC036348)
Source: RNAcentral
CCCGCUCCUUGCCCGACUCAAUCUCGAAGGUCCUAGGCAAAGAGUUACCCCGCUCCUCGCCCGACUCAAUCUCGCUCUACUAGGUACGAGCUGCUACAUAGUAAUGGAAUAUACACAUGCUACUAUGCCUCUGUAAUCAUGGAAUGCAUGAACAUAGCAAUGAUAUUCUACUAAUCAUGAUACUAUGCUUCAACAAUAAUAGAAAUGAGCUACUACAUAGUGAUGUAUCUACAACAUGCUACUAUGUCUCAAUGUCAACUCAAGGUAUGAAUGCAAAUCUGCUAUGCCAUUCAUAUUCUUUACCCAAUCUGCUUGGAAAUGAGCUACUACAUAGUGAUGUAUCUGCACAUGCUACUAUGCCUCAAUAAUCCGAAUGAACGAGCUACUACAUAGUGCGUCGUGCAACUAUGCCUCGAUAGUAUCCAAUCUCAUGGCUAACCCGAAGGUUGCCACCCCGGGGUCAACCCCGACUCACUCUCAAUCUCAUAGGUGAGGAGAAUCUGCACUCGCACACCGAGACCGUCUGCGGGACAACUACGUCUGCCCCUAGUGAAGUACUCCGGAGACUCGUGCUUCGGUGGAGCGACCACCGACAAGCAAAAACAGACUAGUGAGUAUGAUCCAAUCCUCACAAGAGGAUACCCUAUCUACCAGGGUCAAUGUGCCUCUGCUGCACAAUACCAAAUGCAUAAUCAAUGCCUCAAAUGCACUAAUGCCAAAUGCAUAAUGUCUACAACAUGACAAUCGGGAAAAUCUACUAUCCCUAGGUUCAAAUGCCAUAGUGUUUCACUACACUAGAUUUGAUGCCACUCGUUUAUGUCAUGAUGUUAUAUGUGUCUUAAUACACUAAAUCGACAUGCCACUCGUCAAUAUUAUAGUGUCUUUAUUACACUAGUCCAAACGCCACUCGUCUAGGCCAAUUACAUGUCCAAGUUCAUCAUCAUUCUUGUCACUAUAGGAUUCUUGUCGCAAGACCCAAUCCUCAUGCAACCUAAGAUCAAGUGUCAAGCCCACAAUGCUACACAACCUAGGUAACAUGCAAGGAAUGGAAAUGUAAUCAUCUACUAAUCCUAUAAUGCAUAAUAUAUCAACAUAUAGGAAUACGAUCAACAUAUAGAACUUAGACAUAAAAGGAAGCUCAGUUGCUUCGGGAUGGACACCCCCCACCUUUUAAUGCUACCAAGAGGCUAGGGUUCCGAUUUCGUGAUUUUUGAAAGCUUUUGCCGCGAGCUGCGGCAAUCUAUACCUUAACGGCUUCGUUCUUUAAUAUCUUCACGUAGCCUCGUCGUAUCGCCGAACCGACUUCGCCAACGCGUCAGAAAACCUAGCAAUUAGGUUUAUACAUGAUCAAUUUAGAUCAAAACCCCUCACAAGCAAAACCCCUCUUUUGAUGCCCUAAGAUGCAACUAUGCAAGAAUUCAUCAUUUGAUCUCUAAAUUCGAGCAUCAACCAUCUAUUUAGCAUCCAGGAGUUUCACUAAACCCAUUUCUAAGGCAUACAAAUCACUACUUAGCAAUCUAUCAUUGUUGCUAUCAAAGCUUACCUCUCAAACCCAAGCUCUCUUCAAGCCAAUGGUGAAGAAAAGAAAGCUUCACCUCUAAGCAAGCUUUUUCUUCUCCAAAUCCACCUCCAACUCCUCUCUUUGGUGGAGAAAUUGCUAGAGAGAGAGAGAGAGAUCUUUCUCUUUGGUUGCAAGUGUGAGGGAAUGAGAGAAAAGGCUCAAUCCUUCAUAUAUAUAUGUAUAUAGGAAACUUGACCUCCAAGUUUCAUAGGAAACUUGACCUCCAAGUUAUCCAAGAACACUAUUCACAUUCAGUUUAGCAGCACGGUACAAAUUUUUUUCAUCUGCCCUUCUGAACGUCCGUUUGAGCUCAAAUUUGGCAGUCAUGCUCGGUUUUAUUUAACUUACUGAAAGAAAUUUUAAUCUUUCAGUUUCGACCCCGUUUGGUCACCGAAAACUCUACCGAACUGUAAUCUUUAUCAGAUAACUGUCGGAUUUUAUUUUCUACCUUCUAGGUGUCAGAAUGGGCUGAAACUUUAAAUCUAGUCUCACAAAAAUAAUUCUGACUUAUCCUCCAGUUUUCAAAAUUUUCUGACACUGUGCAUUUUCUGCCAAUUUAUCUGCCCCGUUUCACACAGAAAAUUCUAAAUAUUCUGUUUUCGCUUUGAUUUCAGCACGGAUCAUUCCAGACUUAUAUUUCACUUCUCUAAAUCCUAUAAAAAUAGUAUCUCAUACUAUUUUUAUUUAUUUUCACUUUUAUAUUUAAAAUUCGGUAUGUUACAUUCCACCGCAAUCUCACCGGAACCAUUUAAAUGUACAUCGUAACUUCAUAGUUUUAGAAGUCAGGUACCUUACAUCCUCCCCUCCUUAAAAAGAGUUUCGUCCUCGAAACUCAAAUCUCAUCUAAAUUCGAGUUUUCGAGCAUCUGGGGGUAAUAAUGCACUUUUGCACUCCGGAGUAGUCUUUUUCUCAUCGGAACUAUCCAAAGGCCCACUACAGAGGAUGUGAGGCUAGAUUCACUCACAUUUGCUAAACGUAACUUCGAAAGUGCAUUACGGGCCUCCGUCAUUCUUGGUGGUAGCGCAAAUCGAAACUCAACGACUCUGUGCGCUCCAACACCAUUCAUCAUCUGACAUGCAAGGACUCUUCUUUGCAUUUACCUUCCCCCUUCAGGACAUUCCGACUCGAUCACAAACAUUGCUCAACAGCAAUAUGAUUGGUGUAUCACCCAAUCACGAGUGUUCUAACCACAUUCGGACCUUGCUCUACCGCGAGACGGCCUACCCCGGCAUAUCUCGACUCUUAAUCCACAAGAGAGCAUUGUCCACAAUUCCAUGUGGCUAUCCUGUAUUCAAGUGUCUCCAAGAGACCACUUUUCCUUACCUCUCAAUUGCCACUUCUAACCUUAAAUCGCUCUACUACGAGAUAGCCUACCCCGGCACAUCUCGAUUUCCAACCCUCAAGAGAGCACUAUCUUCAAGUUCUCCAACUUCUCCAACAUGACCCAGCCCGCCUUGGCAAAUUUCAGACUCGGGGACCGGUCUUGCCCUACCUGGGACCGGUUGCCCCGCGCUGCGCAACCCUCCGCCUCGGGGCAACUGGUCCCUCCCUCCUAGGACCGGUCCCCGAGAGCAAGCUCGCGCAGACCAUGUUCGGGAACCAGUCCCUCCCGCCAGGGACCGAUCCCCGAGAGCAAAUCUGCCAAGUGCAAAUUCUUGCACCAUUUGCUCUCGCGGACUCCAUUGUAAUGCACUUUUGGUGCAUUCAACGUCUUCGGCUUUUACGAAGCACUCCCAUUUGACAAUUAGUCGAUCUUGAGCGAAGUUCAACUCUCGUAUUUCGAAAAUUCACUUCCUUGCUCCCAACUCCUCCACAGAGUUAUCGGCUAAACCGAUUACGUCAGCUUUCACAGGUGGACCAACGGUCGUAAUACCACGUCGGCAUACUCCUAAACCUGUCGUAACUACGCACAGCGUCUCUCGCUCACAUCGUAGAUCCAAUCAUAACCGGGUGAACUUCUCACUUGGGAAUUCGCACGCACUCCAAACCACGUCAAGUUCUCGGGUUGGGGUCACAUUCAAACUUGGUGUAUCCUCGAUCACAUGAUCCAAUGCGUGGCAUUCCACGCUCCCGGGUCUAAGCUCGGACUACCGUCCUGACCAAAACUCUGCCCUACCCAUAGGUACCGGGCCGCUGCCACUCGCAGCCGACUGUGCCUACCCAAUGGGCCCAGGCUUCACAAUCCACAAAUGGUCCAGGCACGGGUUGUCCCCAAGCACUACACGCCGUCGUCGUCCUACAUGACAUGUUCUACCGAGCCACAUAUACUACUGUCGGCUCCUACUCGGCUACUCUCUCAACAGUGAUUCUACUCUCACUGUUCGAUCUACCGAAAUAAUAUUCGAGAUGCUCAAGCCACUCGGGUAUUCGCAUGUCACUGCGCAACUCUCGCAAUUCGAUACUCACUGCCUUGAGAGUCGCUUCACCGUUUCGUCUGUACCACGAGUCUCACUUAUCGCCCAACAAUCAUCACCGGCAAGUUGCUAGUGCCAUCCAACUCUCUACCUGCUGCCGGCAGAACUCCAGCCAACUGCCUCGGAGCCACUGGGGCGAAUGUAACAAACAGUGCAGGCGACGCUCCCUCUGGGCAGUAACGGCUUAUAUGCCCUGCCCGACCACACCUGAAGCACCGUUCCGCCUUAUGCUCACAAUUUCCUGCGCGAUGCUCUCCACCGCAGAUCACACAUCGCUUAGGUCCAUAGCCAUCGGACCACCUCACCCGAUACUUCGGGGGCUUCUGGGAACUAAACUGUCCCCCCGAACUACCGCCAGGUCGUUUCUUUCCCUUAUCCUCUUCGAACGCCUUGCGCUCGCAUUCGACCUCCUCAGCCAUCGCAUCGAGAAUCGCAGAACCCGAAGCCGCCAGAGGUACACCAACCGACGAGGAAUGUACCGCCACCGGAACCGCUGCCAGGCCCUCACCCUCAGCCGCAUCAAGCGCGCGAAUCGAGGGCGCGGGCGGACCACGACCUUCAAUUGCCGUCGCGGCCAUCGCCGCUACCAGCCGCUCCAAACGCUCCUGGAGCCGCUCGAUCAAACUCCCUUGGCGUUGAACCACGCCAAUUAGUGCAGUCAUCUGCGCCCGCAGUUCCUGGACCUCACUUGAUCCAGCUUGUUCUGGCACCUCAGCAGGCUGUGCCGGAACGGAUCUACGCACGUAGUGUCUCAUUGGUGCCAUUAGCUCCUGAAACACUACAACUUGGUUAAUCACCUUAACCCAUUAAUCUCGUCGCAACUACUAGACAACGCGACUCAACUCCACCAUAAGCAGACGUACACCAUUGUAUUAGUCCUAACUCUUAGCGUCAUGUUGUCGGCCGCCAACACAAACUCCUCGAGCUCGGAACUAACACCGCUCGGAUCUAUCUCUAGUCACAUUAGAGAUCUAUACUCGAUCCGACCCAAUCGAAUUCUUCCUCAAUCGAUUCAGGUUUACGUUUCUCUCACGUACCUAUACAAUCCUAGGGUUCACCAUCCUAAGGUCUCUUAGGUCCAUCCUAGACUCUCUCUUUACUUGCUGUUAAUUGCUCUGAUACCAACACUAUCUGUCACGCCCCGCCCCGAAUCCAAUACCAAUUUGACACGGUUUGGGCACGCCGGACGGACCGCCGAACGGACAGCACCUUUCCUGUCCACCCAAGGCUAAGUAACCAGAUCAUGUACAGUUAAGCGCCCAGGGAAUGCUUAAAUAACAGACAUGAUCGAUACGAUGCACACAAGUGCACAAUAACUAAGAGCAAGAACCACAAGUGAAUGUACAAGUGUAUAAAGAGAGAUAGUCUAACUAUCACAAUCAUUCAACAUUUACAUCAUUUGAAUAUAUUACAUUUUCAUCUUCCAAAAUAUAAGUACAUGUUUUCUUCAAAAUACAAGUUGCCUUCCCAUAACUAACCAAACAUCAACUAGUACACGAGGGUGCUCUAAUGCAUAAAGGAAAAGCUACUAACUAGGCUCACUUAGGGCGCUAUGCCGUUGCCGCUCUCCUCGCUUGGCUCGCCUCUGCGUGUACCUGUACCCCAAAACCACAUGGGGUGAGAACUAUAUAAAUAUAGUUCCCAGUGGGUUCAGCCGCCGACGCCGCCGGUUUUCCCACUAGGUCCAAGCUGGCACAGAUAGAUAGAUAGAAAGGUAGAUAGAAAUAAACUGCUACUAUAUCUACUAUGCCAUCAAAUGCAAGGAAUGCAUGGAACAUCAUUUAGCAAUAACCUACUAUCAUGCUAAUAUGCUUCAAUAAUGUAAUAAAUACAACUGCAACAUAGUUAUGCUGUCUACUAUGUCUAAUCAUGGCAUGAAUGCAAUCCACUUAUACUAUUCAUGUUUCAACCCAAUCGACUAGGCCAACUUGCCUAAGAUCUCAAAUCUCAAAGGUCCUAGAAAAAGAGCUACCCCGCUCCUUGCCCGACUCAAUCUCGAAGGUCCUAGGCAAAGAGUUACCCCGCUCCUCGCCCGACUCAGUCUCGCUCUACUAGGUACGAACUGCUACAUAGUAAUGGAAUAUACACAUGCUACUAUGCCUCUGUAAUCAUGGAAUGCAUGAACAUAGGAAUGAUAUUCUACUAAUCAUGAUACUAUUCUUAAACAAUAAUGGAAAUGAGCUACUACAUCGUGAUGUAUCUACAACAUGCAAUGUCAACUCAAGGUAUGAAUGCAAAUCUGCUAUGCCAUUCAUAUUCUUUACCAAAUCUGCUUGGAAAUGAGCUACUACAUAGUGAUGUAUCUGCACAUGCUACUAUGCCUCAAUAAUCCGAAUGAACGAGCUACUACAUAGUGCGUCGUGCAACUAUGCCUCGAUAGUAUCCAAUCUCAUGGCUAACCC